AAAGGGGGUAACACCCCAUACUCCAUUUCAUUCGUCUCUCCACGCCAAACACACCCUACUCCCUCUCCUUCACUGAACCCUAGCUGCCACCCCCCUUCAUUCUCUCUCCUCUGAGAUGGAUUGCUAAAAAUGGAGAAAACACAGAGUCCACAAGCUUUUCUCAGUCUGUGCAUAGCCAAAUCAGGAAGCAUUUAUUGCGAAUAAGUCUCUCUCCACUCCUUCUCACCAAAAACAACCUAAGAGAGAUAAUUCUCACCCUUCUCUCUCUUAUUUUCCAUUUUUUCGGUUUGAAUCAAGUAUAUAAUGCAUUAAUGACCGUUGUUUUAAACUGCUUCAACCCUCGAAUCUCAUUGGUUCUUCAUGAACCAACCGGAUCGAGGGAAUAAGCUUAGAAAUCAUGCAUUCAUUUCAAUUUUGGGACGAUUUGAGUCAUUCAUUAUGAGAACCAGGUGUAUUUUUUAAAAAUUUCACCUAUCCCACAUCGAUUGGGGAAUUAGGGUUUGGGAAUUUUGGGGUUCUAUAAUAGAACCCUCAUUUAAUUGAAAAAAAAACAAGUUUGGAACAUAGGGAUACAGCGCCAAAAACCUGAGUUUUGAGCUUUCAUACUCAAAAUUGGGGUUCCUAGUCUAAAAGUUUCAACUUAGCCUCUUAGGUUGAGUUUUAAGUUCAAGAUUUUAAUUUAAUUUGCAAGUAUGGCUAAAUUUGAUUUUGGAAGCACAAAGGAGGCUCCAAGUCCAUUCUUGCUUCGGUUGCACUCAAAAAAGGUCGGUCCAAACCAAACCCGUUGAGCUACGGCCCAACAGUGUCAAUUCUUUCAUAACAUAAAUGAGUCCAACGGAGAGAAAGGGAAGCAAAUAUUGAAGAUGCGUAAAAGGCCCAACCAUGGGUAAAAAUGGUUAACUAGGGGCUUGGUACGCCUCUAGCUUAACUCAUCUUUUAUUUACAUAUUUAUAUUUAGAUAUUGUAUUGUAUUUGUUUGUAAAACAUUUGUAUUUAUUGGAAUCCUUUACGGUUA
Lycium barbarum (goji berry) is the source of this 1015-nucleotide long non-coding RNA. RefSeq lists it as uncharacterized. The transcript is spliced from 2 exons. The record is from RefSeq and is a predicted model, not a curated record. NCBI's taxonomy places the organism in Eukaryota, Viridiplantae, Streptophyta, Magnoliopsida, Solanales, Solanaceae.